GCACGUCCCCCGUCUUUUCCAACGGGGCAGCUAACAUUCGGGCGGUUGGCGGCUGGUGAUUGUGGGCAUAAUCUUGGCAAUGCUCUUUUCUCAAGCUCCGUGCGGAUUGUUUUUACCGCAUAGCGAUUUUUAUCUCCGGCUGCGCAUGGGCAGACUUAUGGCAUUAUUUUAUCGCCUCCCUUUUCCAUACGACUCUCACCCUCCCAAAAUCACGGGUUUUGCGUAUGCGGACAAAAUACACGUAUUUCGACCGUUCCGACUUGCGGCAUUGGUUUGCCGUUCCGCUCGGUGUGGUUAUUUAACACCCUAUUUAAGCGUUCCAAAACGCACGGACGAAUUUUUGAUUUUCCCAGCCUCAAAAAUAGGUUUCCCACAAAAAGGGCUGUUUGUUU
Molecule: non-coding RNA, 392 nt
Submitted as: unclassified sequences
Source: Rfam